Molecule: ribosomal RNA, 253 nt
Filed under: uncultured bacterium
Lineage: Bacteria
Description: partial 16S ribosomal RNA
Rfam family: Bacterial small subunit ribosomal RNA
Source: RNAcentral
GACGAACCGUGCGAACGUUGUUCGGAAUCACUGGGCUUAAAGGGCGCGUAGGCGGGCCACCAAGUCCGGGGUGAAAGCUUCUGGCUUAACCGGAAAAGGGCCUUGGAUACUGGUGGUCUGGAGGGAGGUAGGGGUCUGCGGAACUGCUGGUGGAGCGGUGAAAUGCGUUGAUAUCAGCAGGAACGCCGGUGGCGAAAGCGGCGGACUGGACCUCUUCUGACGCUGAGGCGCGAAAGCCAGGGGAGCAAACGGG